Molecule: long non-coding RNA, 6805 nt
Filed under: Homo sapiens (human)
Lineage: Eukaryota; Metazoa; Chordata; Mammalia; Primates; Hominidae
Description: HSALNT0377569
Source: RNAcentral
CCUCAGGUGAUCCUCCUGCCUCAGUCUCCCAAAGUGCUGGGAUUACAGUUGUGAGCCACCACAUCCAGUGGAGGUCAGUUCUAUUCACCCGAUUAGAUGAGGGCUACCUACAUUAUGGAGGGCAAUCUGCUUUAUUCAAGGCCUACAAAUUUCAAUAUUAGUCUCAUCCAAAAAAUACUCUCAGCAGAAAUAUCCAGAAUAAUGUUUGGCCAAAUGCCUGAGCACUGUGGCCCAGGCAUGUUGCUACAUAAAAUUAUCACAAAAGAUGAGGACUUGUCCUCAGGGACGCCAAGGAUGGGGUUUAAGAUAGAUAAUGGCGAUGGAACAUGAACACUGUCUCGGAGGCCAAGAACUAUGAAGGAAAAGUCCACUGGAUUCUGCAUCUGAGAUUCGCUGGACCACAUUUCUCUUCCUACUAAGUGUAAAAUACUGGUUAAGAGCAAGCAUGGGCUUUGGGGCAAAAAAAUAUUCUGAAGCCCAUCCUGACUCAGCCAUUACUUACUGUGAACCUGCACAAAUUACUUUCCCUCUCUCGACCUCAGUUUUCCAAUCUCUAAAAUAGAAAUAACUGUAUCUAUGAAGAAUUUUUUAAGAAUUAAAUAUUUUGGUGUUUCUACUAUAUGCUAACUGAUAAGUAUAGCUCAUGUUAAUAUUAUCAUCACUAAUAUUCAUAUUAUUUCAUCUUGAUCAUUAUCAUCUUCAUAUGUUCCAUAUUCAGAGGACACAAUUUAGAGUAGAAGGAUUAAAGAGGGAAUGGCUUAAGAAUAAAGGAGGGAUUAAGAAGGGAAUGAGGAAUAAGGAAAAAUGUGUGCCUGUAUUUCAUAGCCGACCUAGCAUUCUACACUGAAACUCAGUUCUGAGUCUAGAACACUUUUAAUUCAUUCUCUCUCCUUUUACAAGCAAGGAAACAUUUUCAACACUAAUACAUUUAUUUCUCCCAAUCUAUAGUUCAACAACACAGUCAGAAGUAUAGAGAAGACUUACUUUCUCUACCCUGCGCUUCUUUCACCAGAUCAGCAUAUUCCUAACUCCCAUGGCUUAGCCUUGAUUGUGAUGCUACUUUCCUAGAAAACUUCUAGUAAGAAUGGGGGUCAUAGUGGACCACAUCACUUCCUUCUCCCAGCAUUGCUGAGGCAAAUGAGGAGGGAGCAGGUUUAGAUCCUCACUACAAAGAGCAGGCAUGGAUUCUACCUCUUAAACAUUUUACUCAGGGUUCCCUGACAAUGAAAACUGCCUUUCAUUUCUUCUUUCAGCCCAUUGGAGUAGAGGUUAAUGACUUUGUCCUAAGAAACAAAAGGCUCACAUGCAAUUAAAAAGAUCUCAGAAACAAGUCAGGCAUGAAGAGUGUUCUAGAAACUCUACAAUUGAAUUUUUUUUCAUUGACAAAUGAUCCCGCCAUCAUUGUAGAUAGGGUAACAUAUCUAAUUCCUAUAAUUCUAUAUCUUUAAAUGAAGCCUGCAGGAAAUGCCUUGAUGGAAAGGAAGAUCAACGGGACUGAAAAUAACGUAUUCCACCUCAUUCCCCCUCUCUGAAUUCAAUUUCUCACCAGGCACUCUGAUAGCUUCCUUCUUCCACCCCUUCCAGAAGCCAAUUCUGAAUUAUCCAACCCUAAAAAAGACUAUGAAGCCAACAGAGUCACCAAACACCUAACUUAGCAAGGGCCCCGAUCUUCUUCUCCAAGCAAACCUCUUCCUCUUUGUAAUUCACCUUUAUGUUCUUCAUCUAGCAGAGAAAGAAAUAAACAGGGAAAGCAGAAAGAAAAGAGGUAGAGAGGGCACUGCAAGGCCCAGAGAGUUCACAAACAAAAGAACCUGCCUUAGUAUUACGAAGCACCAACCACACUUGCUUUAGGCUUAAAUCAGACUUGAUUUGGCUCUUCUGAACAAGCACCAGCAUCUAAAUCACUCACUUGGCAGCAUUAUCUGUGGCCUGUUACGUGACAGACACAAUGCUACACACUGGGGGAUGCCAGUAUGAAGAUAAGAUAUGGUCCUGGAAUAUAACAUUACUCAUGGUGUCACCUUGGGCAAGUUAUUUAAUCUCCCCGUGACUCCGUUUUCUCAUCUGUAAAUGGGGAUAAUAAUAACCUCUACCUCAAAGAUUGUGAUAAGAAUUAAAUGUAUUAUUACAUAUAAAGCACUUAGUGCUAGGGUAGAGAUAUCAUCACAGGAAAAUAGGAUACUUGAGAAUUCCACCUGGACCUUCACACAGACAAUGAUCCUUGGGCUGGGCUUUAUAAAAAAUUGUUUAAGGUUUUAAGAAAAGUGUAAAAGAGAUGGAAAGGUCAUGCUGGAGGACAGGCCAGCAUGAACAACGGCUCAGAGGUGAAAAUACACACAUUUCUUGGAUGGUGAGAGGCUGGAGCGCAAAGGGAGCUGUGAAGGGGAGGCUGCUGGAGCCUCAGGCCUCCUCUCCCAGGCUCUGCAGGGCCUGUGUACCUGGGGGAGGAGCCUGUCCGGAUGAUCUACAGAGCUCCUGCUGCAAGAAGGAAGCAGUCCUUAACUGUGUCCAAGGAAGAGUGGUUCUGGACAAAGAGAGGGAACAUUUCCCAUCUGUUCCUGUGACUUCCCCACUGGUGGGGCAGGAAGGACAGAAGGGAUGUUUGCCCUGAGAUGGGUUCAGUUUAAUUCAAGUUUCCAAUAAUUCUAAUCCUUGACCAAAUUUCUGUGAGUGGAGCCUUCUACUCUAGAAUCUUCCCUCCUUCUGGGCACUGCCUUCACAAACAUGAACUACCAACAGGCUUUCCUCUGCCCUCACUUUCCAGUGUUCCCAGAACUCUGAGGAAGGAGCAGCCCAGGUAAGGCAGAGCUGGAAAGGCCAUGAGGUGCAGAGGUGACCUCAGUAGCCACCGUCUCUGCCCUCUGAUAGGGAGCCAGGCUCUCAGUGGGUGGAGGAGACAGAGAGCAGAGAGAAAGAGGCAGACAGAGACAGAAAAACAGAUGGAGGGAGAGUCUGAGUGUGUUGGCCAUCUUCUGUGCUCCAUCUUACACUGCCAUGGUAACCAAUUUGUAAAGGUGUGACCUGGUGGAAGUAGGAGUGGUUCCUCCCUCACCAUCACUCCUAGUGGCCCCCUGUGGAAUUUGCACUUCUUGUCCCAUGACCUUAUGCUCUGCUGGUUAAGGGCCCCAGGUCCCAAGGGGGAACAUGGUUGGAAUUCUGCUAGAAGACAUGCCUGCUAUCUAUUUCUUUUAGGCUUCUCCUGCCAGUGAAGAAGUAGGCAUGGCAAGGAGUUACGUUGUUGUCAGGGGCAAUCAGCCCUGAUGACCACAAGGAGCCAGGUUGCUGCUCUACAACAUGGGGCAAGAAUGAGUGCCUCUGGAACCCAGAGAUCCCCUGGGGUGUCUCUCAGGGAUUCCUGUGCCCAUGGUAACCAUAAGUGGGCCAUUUGUAUACAACUGUGGCCUGGAAAGGCUCAGACCCAUUGGAGAUGAAAGUUCAAGCCACCCCACAGGGUAGCAGCCUUGACCCACCAAAAUGCUUACUGUGGUGAGGGAAAUGUAGAAACCAAGGUGGAGAAUGACGGAUCUUGAUUGAGGCCUUGGGAUCAGUCAUAAGGUCACAGACCAUGGCAUGUUCCACUAACCCUCAUGUCCUCAGGCUUUUUGUAGAGAUGACAGAUGGCUACACUUUGAAGUCACUGUGGCAAACUUGACUUCAUGGGAGGCAUUACUAGAUCUGAGCAUUGCAAGGGGAAGACAGCAUGGUGUCCUGUCUCAUUUCUUCCUGGACCGCUUUUCUUUCCUGCUGUUGCUGGGCUAACCAGCUUUGCACAGCUUUUCUACCUCAGUUGCAAGCUGUCACCUGAAGUCCUGCUCCAAAGAGAAGAACCGCUCAGAACCACAGUGCUGCCACUGCAGACCCAGGCAUCAUCCCAGGGGCCUGGCCACUCCUAAUGCCAUGCCUUGCCCCACAAAGUCACUCAUCUUGACUGGCGAGGCUGGUUCAGAUGAUCUCAUUUCAGGGACAUUUUCCUGGUUCCCCCUUUCAUUUGUCCCAACUCACUCACAGCUGAGCAUGCAUGGAUUAGGAUAACAACAAUGUUUCUGACAGGAAGUGUAUUACUAGAACACUUUAAGAACUCCUUGUGUAUACACACACACAGGCACACACACACGAGUGAAACCUUUUCCUAAUAUAAAGAUUCAAGGUUUUGUAGUGGCUUUAGUUUGUCCCAUUUUCUGUAGCAAGGUUUUAUACACAUACACACACACACAAACACACGCACACAGCGUCUUAAACAUAAGUUGAUGGAGUGUGAAACUGCACUUCAUUUACUGCAUAAUGGAACACCUUAAUGAUAUUCUUAGAUAUAAUGCCUUUUCUCUGAACCACUUUUCUUUUUAGUAUUUAAUGUAUGUUAUCAUCACAAUUUUCAUCUGUUUUUCAGAAAUACUCUACAAAAUCUAUUUUCCUUGCUGGAAAACUAGACCCAAAGAGCAGGUAUCCCUGUCUAUGUUGUUAGCAAGUAUUUUGAGAUGUCUUUAGGGAUGCAUAACUCCACAGAAUUGAGAAUACAAAGCCAGGAGACAUUAAAAAGAUGUCACAUCUGUAAGGAUACCUCCUGUACUAAGCUUAAAUGAACACUACAGAGGGUCUCAUUCUCAAAAGGCUUUGCUGGUUGUGUAGGACCAAGAAAGUUAUAAAGCUGAAGCCAAUAAUAAAGCAAAUGACCAAGAAACAACUUUUAUAUUAAUCAGGAUUCGUUUUUAAGUUGAAGUGACCAAAAUACAACUCAAACUAACUCAAGCAAAAAAGAAAUAGGUACUGGGGAGAGGGGACAGUAGGGGAACAGGCUCCCACAUACUGAGAUCUGGGAACACAAAGGGAAGUUAUCAGGUCUCUCUCCCUCUCAGCUCUGCUUCUUUCAGUGUGGUGGCCUCAUUCUUUCUAACUGAAGAACGAUCUUUACUGCAGAAAAUUCUAAGCAUUAUUGUGGCAGAUCCAGUAAGUCCCAGAGAAGGAUUCUGAUUGGUCCUGCUUCAGUCACAUGCUUGCAUCUUAGUCCAAUCACUGUGGCCUGGAGGAUGGGACACCAUGAUUUGCAAGACUCUGGUCACAUGCCCACACCUGUGGCUUCUGAAGCAGAGCACCAGCAGUGACAGUCCCACCAGAACCGCAUGGAAUAGAAAACUGUGCAUUUCCCUAAGGAAAGGGAAUGCCAGAGAAGGGCAGAAGGGAAAUCAGGAAGACAAAACGGUAAAUUACCUACCACAAAUCCAAUUCAUUGGUAUUUUUCCACUUACACUUAACCAAGCAACGAUUUCUCCUGGUCCCAUAAUGGAAAAGAGGGUUUAUCUAGAUUCAUAUAUACAAGACUGAAGAGUGAAGAGAGACCCAGAGAAUGUUCUAAAAUCUGCCAGUUAGCAUAAUCACACAGAGAAAUCUCUGCUUCCAGAGGAGGAGCCAAGUUCAAGUCAGAGGUGAGGAAUGCCAACAGGAAAGCUCACUUUCUCCGGGGAUAUUCAGGCCAACACUAGGAAACCACAGCCAAGUCAGGCAGGGCUUGGGGCGGAACUGCUGACACCUCCACCCUAGCCAAUCCAAGGUGCACGCCUGCCUCAUGCAGCCCAGCGUGACUCCCGCCAUUGGCACACUGUGCCCAUCACAGGCUGGAGCUCCUUUCCUCCACCGUCUUCCCAACUCCUGCCAACCAGAACUUAACUACUCCUUUGGAUUCUGCUUUUCACUUGUUCUUCAUCAGACUAUGGAAGCUUAGACUUCAUAAUUUGGCUGAGACUUCAAAAAUAGUUUUAAAGAAAGCUAUUCCCACCCUGCUAAAUGUCUUCAUGUUGGAGUGGACCUUUCCUCUAUCUGUCAACAGAAUGGAUAAAUUGUGGAAGAGUAAUAUCAGAAUACUACACAUCAGUAAAAAACAACAAACUUCUGCUACAAACAAUCAACAUCGAUGAAUCUUUCAGGCAAAAGGGCAUCCAAAUGGAGGCUAAUGAGUGCAUCCCAAAAUGCUGGUCCAACAUGAUCAAUACAGACUCCUUGGCUGGAUUCUCAGAAAUAUGGAUUCCAAUGCAAAAGGUUAAUGCCUACAAUAAGUGUUCUUGAAAUACAGUCACGCGUUGCUUAACCAUGGGGAUAUAUUCUGAUAAAUUCAUCAUUAGGCGAUUUCAUCACUGGGCGAACAUCACAGCUCGUACUCACACAAACCUAGAUGUCAUAGCCUACUACACACCUAGGCUAUAUGAUAUAGGCUAUUGCUAGCAACAAACCUGUACAGCAUGUUACUGUCUUGAAUACUUAGGCAGCAGAGCACAAUGUUAUAGAAACAGAUGAUCAGUGGCCCACGGAUUCCAGGUGAGGAUCUGGGACCCAGACAUCCAGAUAUUGAAAACACAGGGAUGGAGUCUGUAUGGAAAAAAUUAAAAUAUAGCAAAAUGUGAAAUACGGAAGAGAAAUCUUUCAAUUUCCCAAUGGAAGUGAGAAAAGAGCAAAGAAAAGUAUUGGUCUUCCAAAACAAAUAGAGGACGGAGCUGCUGCUGUUGCAUGGUGUCUAGAAACUCAGACAACUUCAUCAUUCCAUAUUUGCAUCCAAGAGAGAGAAAGAAAAACUACAAUCAUUUUCCAUUUACCCAUCAACCCAUCAACCUCCAAAUAAAGGCUAUUAAAAAACAAUCAAAGUGUGAAGAGGGCAGAAAAUGUGAUGAAGAGAUUCUUUGGAGAAAGUAGCUGCCACUGUUACCUUGGGAUCUGCCUAUAGUCCUCACAGAGCUUGCCCUUGCAGGAUAGAACAUAGGAGUCUGGGAGUCUGCAAGAAGAGACAGGGUCUCACUAUGUUGCCCCAGUUGGCCUUGAA